This 33-nucleotide small RNA is filed under the name Arabidopsis thaliana (thale cress). Its description in RNAcentral is "ATSL292690". The record is from RNAcentral. Lineage: Eukaryota; Viridiplantae; Streptophyta; Magnoliopsida; Brassicales; Brassicaceae.
AAAAUAAAGAAACGGAGAAAGAGGAAAAAAAAA